AGUGAACGCUGGCGGUAGGCCUAACACAUGCAAGUCGAACGGCAGCACAGUAAGAGCUUGCUCUUACGGGUGGCGAGUGGCGGACGGGUGAGGAAUACAUCGGAAUCUACUUUUUCGUGGGGGAUAACGUAGGUAAACUUACGCUAAUACCGCAUACGACCUACGGGUGAAAGCAGGGAAUCUUCGGACCUUGCGCGAUUGAAUGAGGCGAUGUCGGAUUAGCUAGUUGGCGGGGUAAAGGCCCACCAAGGCGACGAUCCGUAGCUGGUCUGAGAGGAUGAUCAGCCACACUGGAACUGAGACACGGUCCAGACUCCUACGGGAGGCAGAAGUGGGGACUAGUGGAAAAUGGGCGCAAGCCUGAUCAAGCCAUACCGCCUGGGUGAAGAAGGCCUUCGGGUUGUAAAGCCGUUUUGUUGGGAAAGAAAAGCAGCAGGUUAAACGCCCCCUGUUCUGACGGUACCCAAAGAAUAAGCACCGGCUAACUUCGUG
RNAcentral lists this ribosomal RNA (492 nucleotides) under uncultured bacterium. Its description in RNAcentral is "partial 16S ribosomal RNA". It matches the Rfam family "Bacterial small subunit ribosomal RNA", at positions 29 to 507 of the family's 1533-position model. The record is from RNAcentral.